Molecule: long non-coding RNA, 4888 nt
Organism: Brassica napus (rape)
Lineage: Eukaryota; Viridiplantae; Streptophyta; Magnoliopsida; Brassicales; Brassicaceae
Exons: 3
Source: RefSeq, a predicted model, not a curated record
GGGUGAAUGGAGGGGUGAAGGUUUCGGGAAUCAAACCAAAUUCGAGAGCAGAAUUUACGAAAAUCUUAUACGAGUUCAAAUUAUGGCUUAGUAGCCUCACAGAAGAUAAAAAGCAUGCCGCAACAGUUUUUUUGUACUAUAAAAAGACCAAGUGAACUCCUAUAAGAUGCUUCUCAAUCUGAUCAUCUCGCCAACAUCACAAAGCUUGAUGAUACUUGGUCACUUCACUGAGUUUUAGAAGCUGCUGCACAGAAAAGCUGAAGCAUUCCUUUCAAAUGACUACUAUGAGUCACACCUUGCAUGGAUGGACUUGUCUUCAUUUGAAGCUUUCAUCGAGAUGAUAAAGCCACAGCUGAUCUGAAACUCUUUUGGUGACAAUCUAAAGGUACAUUCCCCUCUUUUUGCUGCUUUGAUCUAUAAGUGUUCCAAUUACUUACAUUUUCCAUUUUCUCUAAGAUCAUUUUUCAUUUUCACUUUCCAAUAGUUAUUGGUAAACAAUCUCCCGCUUGACAGUGUAUACAAAUCAAAAGAUGUGCUGUUACUCCUAUUCGUGUCUUUCAGUGACAAGAACUGGUCGUUGGUCGGAUUUCACUGAGAAUAAACAAAGAUUUGAGAGCAGAAGUUCAAACUGAAGAUUAGCAGCUGCGUAAGAGCCAUGGGAGUCUUCAGAACACUGGUGGAAAAGGUUACCAUCUCACUCUAUCAUUCUUGAUUAAAAAUAAUUUCUUGCAUGGAAAAGGAGAAGAAGCUGUCAUCGUUGGUAAUGUUUAGGUAGAUUUGGCCGUAUGUUUCAUUUAUUUUUUACUACAGGACAGAUCAAUAUAUAUUCAUGACUUAAUUAAGAUGAACUUGAGUACUGUGAACUUGAGGACGCAUGCAUAGCUGCAUAUCCAUGUUUUUAGCCUGAUAGUUCAGCUUUAAACCUUUCUCGAACUUGGUCGUUUUAAUGUUUUAGUCACUACACCAAUAUCGCUCUUUCGUAUACAUUAACGUAAGAACAUCGUUAAUUUCUAAUUGGUUUGGCAUUACAGAACACACGACAUAAUAUAUUGAAGUUAUGAGUUUACACACAAAACAUUAAAAGAGAUUGAAAAGAUAAAGUUUGAGAACACCGAGAAGCCGUAAAAUGAAAAAGAAGAGAAAAACAUUAGUAGAUGGAGUAAGCUUCUUACAACUACAAUAAAUUAAUUCUUCUGGUAUACCAAGUGCUGCUUUUAUAUUUUAAUUUUUUUCGAAAGAGCGUCUAUGUUUAUGUUUCAUAGUUUCUUACAAAAUAUAAAAAAAAUGAUUUUUCAUUCAGCUUUCUAUAAACCAAGCUUUCCACCAUGAAAAAGAAAAAAAUAAUAAAUAACUACACUAAUGAUUAAAAUACAUAUUAUUUCUAAUUCAGUUUUUCUUCUAUAUUGAGUAAGUGUCAACGGCAGUAUACGAUUGUGAUUUUUUUCUAUUAACUAUAUAAACACAUCACUACAUGAAUAAAAUAAUCACUACAUGAAUAAAAUAAUAAUUCUUCUGGUAUACCAAAUGCUGCUUUUAUUUUUUAAUUUUUUCGAUAGAGCAUCUACUUUUAUGUUUCAUAGUUUCUUACAAAAUAUAUUAAAAAAAAGAUUAUUCAUCCAGCUUCCUGUAAACCAAACUUUCCACCAUGGAAAAGAAAAAAUAAUAAUAAAUAACUAUAAUAAUGAUUAAAAUACAUAUUUUUUCUUCAGUUUUUCUUCUAAGCGACAUUAUACGAUUGUGAUUUUUUCCUAUUAACCAUGUAAACACAUCACUACAUGAAUAAAAUAAUUAAAAUGUGCAUUGUGAGACCAAAUAUUUAACAAUAAUUUUUUUACAAACUACAUCAACAUAAAUUCAAAGCUCAACUUAUAAAAUAAAUAUCCCGCCGUGAAAAUAUUCUACUCCCAAAAAACUUUAAAACCAUAACAUAAAAUACAUGCAAAUAAACAUAAACAAUAAUAUAGUAAUAUAAAUCACAAAAAAAUCAGAUCUCGCGCGUAGCAUGGACCGACCCUAGUAUAUAUAUAUAUAUAUAUAUAUAUAUAUAUGCACAUUGUAACAUUUGUCAUGUAUCAGAGCUUUCAUUCCCAAUCUUGAUAGAAUCAAUUCAUUUUAUUAUUUUUGUUGACCUUAUCUCCUUUAAUUUAUGUUUAUUGAUUUUUCUAUUUUUAGUUUUAUUAGUUUUGAUCCCUGUUCUGAAACGCGGUAGGCGCUAGUCGGGCGGUCGGGUUGGGCCUAGCGCCUAAAGAAAAAAUCGGGGAUUAAUCGGAAAUUAUGCGGGGCGGAAUUUUUAGAUGGUUUACUAUGUUAUAAAACAUGUUAAUCUUUAAUUGUGUAUAACAUUAAUACAUUUUCAUGUUUAUGAUUGUAUAAAACACACAAAUAUAAUAUAUAAAUUUAAUAUAGUGUAAUUUUCAUCAAAAUUAUGAAUAUAAAUGAUAUUUAUAAAAUUUUAGAUCAAAUAAACAAAUAAAAAUAUUAUUAAAACUAAAAAAAAAAUUAAAAAAAAAAAUUAGGCUGCCGCCUAGGCGGCUAGGCGGUCAUUUAGGCGGCUAGGCGGUCAUUUAGGCGGUCUAGGCGGAAAAAAUCGGAUAUCCGAUUUUUUAAACCGAUUUGGCAUAAAUCGGGGCGGAAAAGUGACGCGUAGCGCCUCGCCGAUUUUUAGAACAGGGGUUUUGAUUAAACAAAAAAAAGUACGACGUGAACAUUUUUGAUAGGCUGUUUUGAAAAUCUUGGUUACUGUUUGACCAUGUUACAUGAGUGUACUUCGUUUUUCCAUUAGUAAAGGUGAUCAAUUGAUUUCACUGAUUUUUUUAUAAGUGUGAGUUUGAACUUGUGAUCAAACUAUUUAUAGGCUAUGUUCAAAAAUAUAAUAAUUGUAUAUUUAACGAAUUAAUGAUGUAGAUUUAAAAGUUAAUAACUCCAUUUAUAUAUGUCUAAUAGUUUUUUUUAAACAGGCCUUAAAUUUAUAAACAUAUCUAAAGUUUUAAAGUUUUAGAUCCUAAUAUAUAUAUUUUUAAAAUUAAUUUAAUUUUUAAAUUCGGAUCAUUUUUUAAUUCAAAAUUUUAAUAUUAUAUAGGUUAUGGCAUAUACUCAUACAGUUUUACAAAAUGUAAGAAAUACUUUCAAAAAAGCAAGUAGAGCAAAACACAGAAAUUGUGUCUUAAAAGAUGAAAAGACAAAAGAUGAAAAGUUUUAGUUAGUAUCCAUGGUUAACACAAUUGACUUAGAGCAUAAUUAAUAAGAGUUCUUAAGAGUAGGGUUCUUAACGUAAUUUAACGUAAUUUAAUAACCGGUUCUUAACUUUAACAAAGAAAAAGAUUAUGAACCGGUUAUUAAAUACUUAUUUAAGAACCGGUUCUUAACAUUUUUCUUUGUUAAAGUUAAGAACCGGUUAUUAAAUUACGUUAAAAAUUUCAAUCUCUAAGAAUCCCCAUUAAUCAUGAUCCUAGCCAAGCCGACCAUGUCCGUCACGUCUACCACGUGGAUCAUGCUUGUGGAAAAGUAUUAAAAGUAAAUAACACUAAGAUGUUUGUGGGAAAUUAUAUUACUUUUAUAAAUAAUGUUACAGUACACAUACGUUCACAUAAAACUCAUAUAACCAAUUUUUUUUUUUUUGUAACUGGCAUUACAUUUAACCAAAUUUUCUAAAUUAAUAUGAAAAUAUAUGAUAAAUCAAUAUUAUUUUCAACUAAAACAUGCUUCUAAAUCUUUCCAAACUAUUCUUGAUCUUAUGCAUUUUUUUGUUUAUUAAUGUCGUCGAUUAAUUUUGAUCUCCCAACAAUUAAACUUUAUAUAAUACUUGAAUUUAGGUAUACAAUCCAUAUACAAAACUCAUGUUACGUAGAUUACAUAGUUAUCCCUUGCUAGCAUGUCAAGAGUUAGCAAUUCAUAUAUAAUCGCAAUUUACAAAAGACAACGAAUAGACCACAAGCAACCUUUGCAGGUAUCAGAAUAAUAGAAAAUACAUGAAACCACAUGAAGGUAUUGUACCCAUACUAUUAAUCGACAUUCACAAGGAAAUUGAAACUGAUUGCGUACAUAUUGUAUCAAGAAAAAAAAAACAAAUAAAACUUAUUUAAGAAUCACAUUACUGGUUUUCAGUAAUAUGAAGGUGGUGAUGAAAAAUUGUACUUUACAUUAAGAAAAAAUAAGGUGACAGUAGUGGGGAACGGUACAGGGGUAGAGGAAACUUGUAAUCCACCUUCGGGGGAUAGAAAGUAGUAUGAUGGCGGUGAAGAGCCGUAAACAUAUAGUGCUAGAGAAGACGUAUAGUUAAUCUUUGUUGAUGGGAAGGAAUAUGGUGGUGUUGGUGAGAAACUGUAGAUAUAUAGUAUUGGAGGAGAUUUGUAGACUAUCUUUCGUGAUGGAAAAUAGUACGGAGGUAGUAGAAAAUUGUGGAUAUAACAGUAGCGGAGGAGUGUUGUAUUCUACCUUCGGAGAUGGUGAAUAUGAUGGGAGUGGUGGCAAGCUAUGGUUCAUAGGCAGCAACCAGUGUCGCCAUGAUGGUAACGCUUAGAGCGUAAAUGAGAUGGGCUGAAGGCAUGCUAGAGGAAGAUCUCAUAUUUGUGAUUUAUUUUUCUCUACUAACGUUGGUUAAUUUUUUUUGUUUUGGUUGUGUUGUAAGGGAGCACAUGGGUUUAUAUAGCAAUUUUUUUUUUAAAUCCAGCUCUACAAUAUCUUUUUCCCUGUUUUUGACUCCAUCCAGAUAAAUCUUGGAGGCAUGUCUACACGAUCCUAGUAGGAGACGUGCACGAACGUUUAGAGAACGACUUAAAGAAACUUGAUGGUUCCUCUAAAUCGCUUCGUGACAUUUCUUGAAAUUCUCUACAUUUUUCGGAGGGUAUUGACAAAAUAUGAAACUUUAUAGUUUGAAAGUUUUUUUUUU